RNAcentral lists this ribosomal RNA (219 nucleotides) under Triticum aestivum (bread wheat). RNAcentral's name for it is "partial small subunit ribosomal RNA". Lineage: Eukaryota; Viridiplantae; Streptophyta; Magnoliopsida; Poales; Poaceae. The record is from RNAcentral.
GUUGGGUCGAAGAUCAAUUCAUAUCGACAAGACUUUCCAUUCAUCUUUUUGUUGAUAUUUGGAUUCCGUUUUCAAAUAAAGUCAUCUUGUAGUUAGAAAUCACCUUUAGAAUCAUCAGCCUCUGUCCCUACACUGACUCGCUUAUCCGGGAUCGAUCCUCACUACGGUCCUUCAUUUCGAAACGAGGAUAGGUCUCUCGCGGAACGAGGUGUAGAUUGA